This 68-nucleotide transfer RNA is filed under the name Marmota monax (woodchuck). Its description in RNAcentral is "tRNA.Ala". Lineage: Eukaryota; Metazoa; Chordata; Mammalia; Rodentia; Sciuridae. The record is from RNAcentral.
AGGCUGUAGCUCAGUGGUAGAGCACUUACCUAGCAUUUGUGAGGCACUGGGUUCAAUCCUCAGCACUA